CACGUGGGUAACCUGCCUGUAAGACUGGGAUAACUCCGGGAAACCGGGGCUAAUACCGGAUGGUUGUUUGAACCGCAUGGUUCAGACAUAAAAGGUGGCUUCCGCUACCACUUACAGAUGGACCCGCGGCGCAUUAGCUAGUUGGUGAGGUAACGGCUCACCAAGGCGACGAUGCGUAGCCGACCUGAGAGGGUGAUCGGCCACACUGGGACUGAGACACGGCCCAGACUCCUACGGGAGGCAGCAGUAGGGAAUCUUCCGCAAUGGACGAAAGUCUGACGGAGCAACGCCGCGUGAGUGAUGAAGGUUUUCGGAUCGUAAAGCUCUGUUGUUAGGGAAGAACAAGUGCCGUUCAAAUAGGGCGGCACCUUGACGGUACCUAACCAGAAAGCCACGGCUAACUACGUGCCAGCAGCCGCGGUAAUACGUAGGUGGCAAGCGUUGUCCGGAAUUAUUGGGCGUAAAGGGCUCGCAGGCGGUUUCUUAAGUCUGAUGUGAAAGCCCCCGGCUCAACCGGGGAGGGUCAUUGGAAACUGGGGAACUUGAGUGCAGAAGAGGAGAGUGGAAUUCCACGUGUAGCGGUGAAAUGCGUAGAGAUGUGGAGGAACACCAGUGGCGAAG
RNAcentral lists this ribosomal RNA (621 nucleotides) under Bacillus amyloliquefaciens. RNAcentral describes it as "bacterial SSU rRNA". It matches the Rfam family "Bacterial small subunit ribosomal RNA", at positions 114 to 720 of the family's 1533-position model. Lineage: Bacteria; Bacillati; Bacillota; Bacilli; Caryophanales; Bacillaceae. The record is from RNAcentral.